RNAcentral lists this ribosomal RNA (1501 nucleotides) under uncultured organism. RNAcentral describes it as "SSU rRNA". It matches the Rfam family "Bacterial small subunit ribosomal RNA". The record is from RNAcentral.
CAUGGCUCAGGAUGAACGCUGGCGGCGUGCCUAAUACAUGCAAGUCGAACAAGUUCUGAUUAUUGAAAGGUGCUUGCAUCUUGAUUUAAUUUUGAACGAGUGGCGGACGGGUGAGUAACACGUGGGUAACCUGCCCUUAAGUGGGGGAUAACAUUUGGAAACAGAUGCUAAUACCGCAUAAAUCCAAAAACCGCAUGGUUCUUGGCUGAAAGAUGGCGUAAGCUAUCGCUUUUGGAUGGACCCGCGGCGUAUUAGCUAGUUGGUGAGGUAACGGCUCACCAAGGCAAUGAUACGUAGCCGAACUGAGAGGUUGAUCGGCCACAUUGGGACUGAGACACGGCCCAAACUCCUACGGGAGGCAGCAGUAGGGAAUCUUCCACAAUGGACGCAAGUCUGAUGGAGCAACGCCGCGUGAGUGAAGAAGGCUUUCGGGUCGUAAAACUCUGUUGUUGGAGAAGAAUGGUCGGCAGAGUAACUGUUGUCGGCGUGACGGUAUCCAACCAGAAAGCCACGGCUAACUACGUGCCAGCAGCCGCGGUAAUACGUAGGUGGCAAGCGUUAUCCGGAUUUAUUGGGCGUAAAGCGAGCGCAGGCGGUUUUUUAAGUCUGAUGUGAAAGCCCUCGGCUUAACCGAGGAAGUGCAUCGGAAACUGGGAAACUUGAGUGCAGAAGAGGACAGUGGAACUCCAUGUGUAGCGGUGAAAUGCGUAGAUAUAUGGAAGAAACACCAGUGGCGAAGGCGGCUGUCUGGUCUGUAACUGACGCUGAGGCUCGAAAGCAUGGGUAGCGAACAGGAUUAGAUACCCUGGUAGGUCCAUUCCGUAAACGAUGGAAUGCUAGGUGUUGGGGGGUUUCCGCCCUUCAGUGCCGCAGGUAACGCAUUAAGCAUUCCGCCUGGGGAGUGGGACCGCAAGGUUGAAACUCAAAGGAAUUGGACGGGGGACCGCACAAGCGGUGGAACCAUGUGGUUUAAUUCGAAGCAACGCGAAGAACCUUACCAGGUCUUGACAUCUUUUGAUCACCUGAGAGAUCAGGUUUCCCCUUCGGGGGCAAAAUGACAGGUGGUGCAUGGUUGUCGUCAGCUCGUGUCGUGAGAUGUUGGGUUAAGUCCCGCAACGAGCGCAACCCUUAUGACUAGUUGCCAGCAUUUAGUUGGGCACUCUAGUAAGACUGCCGGUGACAAACCGGAGGAAGGUGGGGAUGACGUCAAAUCAUCAUGCCCCUUAUGACCUGGGCUACACACGUGCUACAAUGGAUGGUGCAACGAGUUGCGAGACCGCGAGGUCAAGCUAAUCUCUUAAAGCCAUUCUCAGUUCGGACUGUAGGCUGCAACUCGCCUACACGAAGUCGGAAUCGCUAGUAAUCGCGGAUCAGCACGCCGCGGUGAAUACGUUCCCGGGCCUUGUACACACCGCCCGUCACACCAUGAGAGUUUGUAACACCCGAAGCCGGUGGCGUAACCCUUUUAGGGAGCGAGCCGUCUAAGGUGGGACAAAUGAUU